UCCACCUUUACAUCCCUAGUACACUCUGACUCUUCCUUUCUAUUCAGUUCAUCUGUUGACUUGUUGUACUGCCGUGGUUGGAUUUGAUCCGCAGUACAUCAAGUCAGAACAGCUCAAUUAAACUUGUAAAUCAUUGAAGGCUUCGAAAUCUAGGACGUAGGGCACCAGUAGACGCAUCGAAUCUUGAAGCAGAAAUAGAUCCACGUACAAGUGAAAAUAUUGACGAUGACAUCGUGUUGCCUUUGAUGAUUUCUAGGUGUUCAAGAAACAACAAGGGAUGGUGAAAAGCAAACGAUGGCGAGUGCAACUGCUGAUUUAGGAUCCAGGCUAGACAAAGAAAAAGGAUUUGGAGAAAAUUUGUGAAAACAGAAUGUAUAAAUCCUCCAAGUACAAAUAAUGACUGAAGCAAUUCCAAUGUGACUAGCAGUGGAAAAGGAGUGUACGCUCUCUAAGCAGGGAUGAAUUUGCAAAUGACGCAGGAUGUAAGAACACUGCAAAACAGCACAUGUUAUGUACAUGUGGCCAGCCGGCUCUGUCACUCAAUUUACACUACAAACCAUAAAAAGCACGUGAUUUUAUUUAGCUUUUAUAGGGUUCUUUGCCGGGUGUUUUUUUUUUCAAGUUUAUUAGGCAGGCCUUUAGGUUUUAGGCCUUUCUGUGAUUCAUAGGAAUGUUUUAGAAUUGUGCAUGCAGGUCAGAACUACAAAAUAUAUUACGAAUCAAUACAA
Molecule: long non-coding RNA, 728 nt
Organism: Anopheles merus
Lineage: Eukaryota; Metazoa; Arthropoda; Insecta; Diptera; Culicidae
Exons: 2
Source: RefSeq, a predicted model, not a curated record